UUGAAAGGGAAACGAUUGAAGUUAGUCAUGCCGGUGGGAAUCAACUUAGGGGAAACUCUAGGUGCACUUCUUCGCUUGGCAGGUCAACGUCGAUUUUGAAUGUUCAUAAAAUAAUUGGGGGAAGGUAGCUUCUUCGGGAGUGUUAUAGCCCUUGAUAGAUGUGAUGUUUGGGGUCGAGGAUUGCAACGGAUACCUCUGGGGCUAGCCGCCUGAUCUCUAAUCGGUGUUGGGUUACGGAUAGCAUGCUGACCGUGUUCGAAUUACUGGUUAAAAGGUUAGAGCGUGCAUAAAUUCGUUAAGGAUGUUGACGUA
This 312-nucleotide ribosomal RNA is filed under the name uncultured Glomeromycotina. Its description in RNAcentral is "LSU rRNA". Lineage: Eukaryota; Fungi; Glomeromycota. The record is from RNAcentral.